UACGAAGGGGGCUAGCGUUGCUCGGAAUCACUGGGCGUAAAGCGCACGUAGGCGGCUUUUUAAGCCAGGGGUGAAAUCCUGGAGCUCAACUCCAGAACUGCCUUUGAUACUGAGAAGCUUGAGUCCGGGAGAGGUGAGUGGAACUGCGAGUGUAGAGGUGAAAUUCGUAGAUAUUCGCAAGAACACCAGUGGCGAAGGCGGCUCACUGGCCCGGUACUGACGCUGAGGCACGAAAGCGUGGGGAGCAAACAGG
RNAcentral lists this ribosomal RNA (253 nucleotides) under uncultured bacterium. RNAcentral's name for it is "partial 16S ribosomal RNA". It matches the Rfam family "Bacterial small subunit ribosomal RNA", at positions 524 to 776 of the family's 1533-position model. The record is from RNAcentral.